This 256-nucleotide ribosomal RNA is filed under the name uncultured bacterium. RNAcentral describes it as "partial 16S ribosomal RNA". It matches the Rfam family "Bacterial small subunit ribosomal RNA", at positions 524 to 777 of the family's 1533-position model. The record is from RNAcentral.
UACGUAGGGGGCAAGCGUUGUCCGGAUUCAUUGGGCGUAAAGAGCGUGUAGGCGGCCAGGUAGGUCGGUUGUGAAAACUGGAGGCUCAACCUUCAGAGGUCGACCGAAACCAUCUGGCUAGAGUCCGGGAGAGGAGAGUGGAAUUCCUGGUGUAGCGGUGAAAUGCGCAGAUAUCAGGAAGAACACCCGUGGCGAAAGCGGCUCUCUGGAACGGUACUGACGCUGAGACGCGAAAAGCGUGGGGGAGCGAACAGGG